AGCUUGCUCCUUUGACGUUAGCGGCGGACGGGUGAGUAACACGUGGGUAACCUACCUAUAAGACUGGGAUAACUUCGGGAACCGGAGCUAAUACCGGAUAAUAUUUCGAACCGCAUGGUUCGAUAGUGAAAGAUGGUUUUGCUAUCACUUAUAGAUGGACCCGCGCCGUAUUAGCUAGUUGGUAAGGUAACGGCUUACCAAGGCGACGAUACGUAGCCGACCUGAGAGGGUGAUCGGCCACACUGGAACUGAGACACGGUCCAGACUCCUACGGGAGGCAGCAGUAGGGAAUCUUCCGCAAUGGGCGAAAGCCUGACGGAGCAACGCCGCGUGAGUGAUGAAGGUCUUCGGAUCGUAAAACUCUGUUAUUAGGGAAGAACAUACGUGUAAGUAACUAUGCACGUCUUGACGGUACCUAAUCAGAAAGCCACGGCUAACUACGUGCCAGCAGCCGCGGUAAUACGUAGGUGGCAAGCGUUAUCCGGAAUUAUUGGGCGUAAAGCGCGCGUAGGCGGUUUUUUAAGUCUGAUGUGAAAGCCCACGGCUCAACCGUGGAGGGUCAUUGGAAACUGGAAAACUUGAGUGCAGAAGAGGAAAGUGGAAUUCCAUGUGUAGCGGUGAAAUGCGCAGAGAUAUGGAGGAACACCAGUGGCGAAGGCGACUUUCUGGUCUGUAACUGACGCUGAUGUGCGAAAGCGUGGGGAUC
RNAcentral lists this ribosomal RNA (706 nucleotides) under Staphylococcus haemolyticus. RNAcentral's name for it is "bacterial SSU rRNA". It matches the Rfam family "Bacterial small subunit ribosomal RNA", at positions 77 to 769 of the family's 1533-position model. The record is from RNAcentral. Lineage: Bacteria; Bacillati; Bacillota; Bacilli; Caryophanales; Staphylococcaceae.